This is a long non-coding RNA of Rosa chinensis, 216 nucleotides long. RefSeq lists it as uncharacterized. The record is from RefSeq and is a predicted model, not a curated record. The transcript has 3 exons. Lineage: Eukaryota; Viridiplantae; Streptophyta; Magnoliopsida; Rosales; Rosaceae.
AGAAAGAAGAAUCCUGCCCAUAUCCUUCUACAUACAAUUGUUUAAUCAAGGUCAACUUUCACUAACAAACUAUUGAUCUCGAAAGAAAGGUUUCUUUUUGAAGGAUCUGUUUCACACUUCCAAGAAGAAGAAAUGCCAAGAUGAAAUUAGGUCCCUUUGAUCCAAAGAUAUGUUUUGAUUCGUAUUCAAAUUGUGUGCAAAGUGUUAAGACUUAAG